This 1499-nucleotide long non-coding RNA is filed under the name Chlamydomonas reinhardtii. RNAcentral's name for it is "long non-coding RNA (CREI_LNC001226)". Lineage: Eukaryota; Viridiplantae; Chlorophyta; Chlorophyceae; Chlamydomonadales; Chlamydomonadaceae. The record is from RNAcentral.
GGCGCUAGCAGCGGCGGCGCGGGGAGCAGCGCGGCGGCGGGUGGAGCCGGAGGCGGAGGCGGAGGGGGCCCGGAAGAGAGCGACGAGGAGUGGGAUGUGGGCGUGUCGGCCAGCGGGAGGCUGGGUGGCGAGAGCGUGGCGAGCCGUGCCACCAAGAUCGCGGUGCGUGGCGCGUGCGUGUGUGUUGGAGCGAGCACGUAGGAGGAGAGCGGCAGUGCGUUUAGUGUUCGACAUCCCAAUGCCCUGCUUGCUCCCUGCCUUCCCUGCCCUUUUGCACGCUCUCGCGCCUUAUGUUGUUAAUCAAAGCACAGUGACACACACUGACACUGACACACACACACACACACACACACACACACACACACACACACACACACACACGACAGGACUUCCACCUGGCGGACAGCCUGCGCACCUGGUUCGUGCGCUUCGGCGCCGACCUGCACUUCAACACGCUGGCGUGCGGCAGCGCCAAGUGAGGGGGCAGAUGAGAGGGGGAGUGACUAGUUAAGGAAAUGGUAGACGGUAGACCAUCUUGCGGAACAUCAAGCGUUACCGACGAUGUUGAUCAGCUCCCGGCUCCAGCUCCAGCUCCAGUUCCAGCUCCAGCACGUAGACCCUCCGAAGUAGUGUUCCCGUUUGAUAUAAAGCUGCUGCAUAGCCUGACACGGCCUAAGUUCGUGGCGGCACGGCGACACUACUCGGGGAGAGGGAGAGGGAGACGGGAGGGGGAAAGAGAGACGGGAAGGGGAAAGGGAGAGGGAGGAAGAGGGAAAAAGGAAAGCGGGUGAAGGAGAGGGCGGGAGGGGAUCUCAGGGGUCAGCGUCGCUGCGCAUGCCAUACACCGUCCUGCGCAUUGCCUUACCUACAGCUCCCUAACCACACGACACACGGCACGCAACCCACCCGCACCUGCUCGCUCGCUCGCCCGCCCUCACGGACCCGCCACCGCAGGGGCAAGGUGUUUGUGUUCGCGCCGCGUGUAACCUCGGCCGCGGCUAUGGGCUGCCAGCCCAAGGCCAAACUGAGCGCGCCGCAGUGCCGCAGCGUGGUGCGUGGGCGUGGCGGCUGGAGGAGUCAGGGAGGGGGUGAAGGGAGUGGGUGCUGGAAAACCGGGGACAGGGACGGGGGAGGCAAGUCUGCACGGCGUGAUGCGCGUUGGUGUGGCGUGCUGUGUGUAUUGCCCAUGCGGCGCAGUAGCUGCUUGCGCAUUUCGCACACGCAGUGUAGACCCUGCCUUUGUGCAUUUGCCUAACACGCGUCUGCCUAGAUACACGCUACCGCAGUACACACAUACACACACACAGUCACACACACACAGUCACACACACACACAGUAUAGUCCUCCUGUUCGCUUAACGCCUGCUACUACAAUACACACGUGCUGGCACGUGUGUGCAGGUGCGCCAGACCGCCGUCAGUUGGGACGGCAGCACCGUCAUAGCCGCCUGCGAGGACGGCAGCAUCCACCGCUGGGACCGCGACGCGGCGGCAGCGGC